RNAcentral lists this ribosomal RNA (484 nucleotides) under uncultured bacterium. Its description in RNAcentral is "partial 16S ribosomal RNA". It matches the Rfam family "Bacterial small subunit ribosomal RNA", at positions 28 to 507 of the family's 1533-position model. The record is from RNAcentral.
AUUGAACGCUGGCGGCAUGCUUUACACAUGCAAGUCGAACGACAGCGCCGGCUUCGGCGUGGCGGCGAGGGGCAAACCGGUGAAUAAUGCAUUUGAACGCGCCAUGACGUGGGGGAAAGCCCGGCGAAAGCCGGAUUAAUCCUGCAGACGACCUGUGGGUGCAAGCGGGGGACCGAAAGGCCUCGCGCUAUUGUGGCGGCGGAAGUCGUAGCAGCUAGUUGGGGGGGUAACGGCUUACCAAGGAUACGAUCCGUAGCUGGUAUGAGAGGACGACCCGCCAGACUGGGUGUGAGACACGGCCGAGACUCCUACGGGAGGCAGCGGUGGGGAAUCUUGGACAAUGGGGGAGACCCUGAUCCAGCGAUGCCGCGUGCGGGAAGAAGGCCUUCUGGUUGUAGACCGCUUUUGUUCGGGAAGAAAUCCUCUGGUCUAAUAGCCCGGGGGGAUGACGGUACCGGAAGAAUAAGCACCGGCUAACUACGUG